RNAcentral lists this ribosomal RNA (498 nucleotides) under uncultured bacterium. RNAcentral describes it as "partial 16S ribosomal RNA". It matches the Rfam family "Bacterial small subunit ribosomal RNA", at positions 29 to 523 of the family's 1533-position model. The record is from RNAcentral.
AUUGAACGCUGGCGGCAUGCCUUACACAUGCAAGUCGAACGGUAACAGGUCUUCGGAUGCUGACGAGUGGCGAACGGGUGAGUAAUACAUCGGCACGUGCCCGAUCGUGGGGGAUAACGCAGCGAAAGCUGUGCUAAUACCGCAUACGAUCUACGGAUGAAAGCGGGGGAUCGCAAGACGCCGCGCGGACGGAGCGGCCGAUGGCAGAUGAGGUAGUUGGUGGGAUAAAAGCUUACCAAGCCGACGAUCUGUAGCUGGUCUGAGAGGACGACCAGCCACACUGGGACUGAGACACGGCCCAGACUCCUACGGGAGGCAGCAGUGGGGAAUUUUGGACAAUGGGCGCAAGCCUGAUCCAGCCAUGCCGCGUGCAGGAUGAAGGCCUUCGGGUUGUAAACUGCUUUUGUACGGAACGAAAAAGUUCUCUCUAAUACAGGGGGCGAAUGACGGUACCGUAAGAAUAAGCACCGGCUAACUACGUGCCAGCCGCCGCGGUAA